UGCUGGCCCUCAAAUGGGGGCAUGUGCACGCUCUGUUUACACAUCCACUCACACCUGUGCACCCUCUGUAGUUCCAUGGCAUGGAGGCUCUGUCCUCCUGCUGCGGUUCUAUGUCUUUACACACACACUGUAACAAAGUCUCAUGGAAUGCAUAUCGCGUUUAACGCAAUACAAUACAACUUUCAGCAACGGAUCUCUUGGCUCUCGCAUCGAUGAAGAACGCAGCGAAAUGCGAUAAGUAAUGUGAAUUGCAGAAUUCAGUGAAUCAUCGAAUCUUUGAACGCACCUUGCGCCCUUUGGCUAUUCCGAAGGGCAUGCCUGUUUGAGUAUCAUGAACACCUCAACUCUCAUGGUUUUUCUGUGAAGAGCUUGGACUUUGGGGGUCUUGCUGGCCUAUGGGUCAGCUCCUCUUAAAUGAAUCAGCUUGCCAGUGUUUGGUGGCAUCACAGGUGUGAUAACUAUCUACGCUUGUGGUUUUCCAUCAGGUAACCUUCAGUGAUGGAGGUUCGCUGGAGCUCAUAAAGGUCUCUCCUCAGUGAGGAGGGGGCUUCUUUUGAAUGUUUGAUCUC
Molecule: ribosomal RNA, 569 nt
Filed under: uncultured fungus
Lineage: Eukaryota; Fungi
Description: eukaryotic LSU rRNA
Rfam family: 5.8S ribosomal RNA (bases 178-332)
Source: RNAcentral